RNAcentral lists this ribosomal RNA (468 nucleotides) under uncultured bacterium. Its description in RNAcentral is "partial 16S ribosomal RNA". It matches the Rfam family "Bacterial small subunit ribosomal RNA", at positions 28 to 507 of the family's 1533-position model. The record is from RNAcentral.
GACGAACGCUGGCGGCGUGCUUAACACAUGCAAGUCGAACGGAAAGGCCCUGCUUUUGUGGGGUGCUCGAGUGGCGAACGGGUGAGUAACACGUGAGUAACCUGCCCUUGACUUUGGGAUAACUUCAGGAAACUGGGGCUAAUACCGGAUAGGAGCUCCUGCUGCAUGGUGGGGGUUGGAACGUUUCGGCGGUUGGGGAUGGACUCGCGGCUUAUCAGCUUGUUGGUGGGGUAGUGGCUUACCAAGGCUUUGACGGGUAGCCGGCCUGAGAGGGUGACCGGCCACAUUGGGACUGAGAUACGGCCCAGACUCCUACGGGAGGCAGCAGUGGGGAAUAUUGCACAAUGGGCGGAAGCCUGAUGCAGCAACGCCGCGUGCGGGAUGACGGCCUUCGGGUUGGAAACCGCUUUCGCCUGUGACGAAGCGUGAGUGACGGUAAUGGGUAAAGAAGCACCGGCUAACUACGUG